CCUCCAAGCCGAUUGCUGUCUUUUCGAUAGUUCUCUUGGAGAUUCCCCUUUGCCCCUUUUAUCAUACACUUGUCGCAAUAUUUGAACGUGCUCGUGCCGGGUAAGGCAAUUUGUAAAAAUAUACAACUUUUAACAACGGAUCUCUUGGCUCUCGCAUCGAUGAAGAACGCAGCGAAAUGCGAUAAGUAAUGUGAAUUGCAGAAUUCAGUGAAUCAUCGAAUCUUUGAACGCACCUUGCGCUUCCUGGUAUUCCGGGGAGCAUGCCUGUUCGAGUGUCGUAAAAUUCUCAAGCUGGAUGGUUUUUCCGUCCUAGCAUUGGUUUAUUGGGCUCUGCUGGUGUCCUCCAUUAGGAGGACCGGCUGGCCUUAAAAGCAUUAGCUUGACCCUCUGAUGUGGAAUUGGUUCCUACUCAGCGUGAUAAU
Molecule: ribosomal RNA, 422 nt
Filed under: Clavulina nigricans
Lineage: Eukaryota; Fungi; Basidiomycota; Agaricomycetes; Cantharellales; Hydnaceae
Description: eukaryotic LSU rRNA
Rfam family: 5.8S ribosomal RNA (bases 125-278)
Source: RNAcentral